Long non-coding RNA from Tetranychus urticae (two-spotted spider mite), 748 nucleotides. RefSeq lists it as uncharacterized. The record is from RefSeq and is a predicted model, not a curated record. NCBI's taxonomy places the organism in Eukaryota, Metazoa, Arthropoda, Arachnida, Trombidiformes, Tetranychidae.
GCAUACAGAUGGCGCUAUUAAGGAGCCUUAUUCAGUGGUUGUUGUUGUUUUUUUUGUUAGGUUUAUAUUUAUCAUUUUAUUGUUCCGUUGUCUUGUUUUUGUGUUCCUCUCAUCUUAUUCAUCAUCAACUUGAUUACUUGGACACGCGUUUAGAUUACCCUGCGACAUGACAAUAAACAACACCGAAAGGGACAAAAGAAAACAAUAAAUCGGAAAACAAUUUUCAUCAUCAUCAAAUGAAUGUCUUGAUCAACAUAGAUGAUAUUAUCUACUGUAAUCAAACAAGCAACUGAGCACAGGUUACACCAACACAGGUUUUCCCAAUUGAUAUAACAGUAGGCUGGAAUGGUGCCAAAUAGGACAAACACACACACGAAAAUGUCAACAAUUGAAGGACACGUUUCUUUUCAUUGCUUAUCAUCAUUAUCAGGAUCAUCUUCAAUAACAACAUCAUCACAAACAAUAGUGACAGAAUUACCUCGCAUUUGCACACCUUAUCUAAAUGAGCAACUGUACACUAACAUUAUUAUUACCCCUCCAUAAAAAUUAAUUUGGGUUUAAUUUUGAUUCAAGAUUAUGAUCUAGGAUUCAGCUAACAUUCAGUUAUUUGGAACAACGUUUCAGCAUUUAGUAAACAAACAAUAUGUCUAUAUGUUUAUACUCGGCGUCUCUUGUAAAAAGACCAAGAGGUUUUAUCAUAUUAACAACUUAAUACAAUUGUAUAAUAACUUCAUUAUUUCAUUUUGUA